This 61-nucleotide transfer RNA is filed under the name Ictidomys tridecemlineatus (thirteen-lined ground squirrel). Its description in RNAcentral is "Spermophilus tridecemlineatus (thirteen-lined ground squirrel) tRNA". It matches the Rfam family "tRNA", at positions 5 to 66 of the family's 71-position model. Rfam says of the family: Transfer RNA (tRNA) molecules are approximately 80 nucleotides in length. Their secondary structure includes four short double-helical elements and three loops (D, anti-codon, and T loops). Lineage: Eukaryota; Metazoa; Chordata; Mammalia; Rodentia; Sciuridae. The record is from Rfam by way of RNAcentral.
AUGUGGCUCAGUGGUAGAGCACCUGCCUGGCAUGCAAGAGACCCUGGUUCCAUCCCAGUAU